AGGAAAGCAGGGGAUCGCAAGACCUUGCGCUCUUGGAGCGGCCGAUGUCUGAUUAGCUAGUUGGUGAGGUAAAGGCUUACCAAGGCGACGAUCAGUAGCUGGUCUGAGAGGACGACCAGCCACACUGGGACUGAGACACGGCCCAGACUCCUACGGGAGGCAGCAGUGGGGAAUUUUGGACAAUGGGGGAAACCCUGAUCCAGCCAUGCCGCGUGAGUGAAGAAGGCCUUCGGGUUGUAAAGCUCUUUCAGCCGGAACGAAACGGUCACGGCUAAUACCUGUGAUCACUGACGGUACCGGAAGAAGAAGCACCGGCUAACUACGUGCCAGCAGCCGCGGUAAUACGUAGGGUGCAAGCGUUAAUCGGAAUUACUGGGCGUAAAGCGUGCGCAGGCGGUUUUGUAAGUCAGAAUGUGAAAUCCCCGGGCUUAACCUGGGAACUGCGUUUGAAACUACAAGGCU
This 462-nucleotide ribosomal RNA is filed under the name uncultured beta proteobacterium. Its description in RNAcentral is "bacterial SSU rRNA". It matches the Rfam family "Bacterial small subunit ribosomal RNA", at positions 200 to 642 of the family's 1533-position model. Lineage: Bacteria; Pseudomonadati; Pseudomonadota; Betaproteobacteria. The record is from RNAcentral.